This 493-nucleotide ribosomal RNA is filed under the name uncultured bacterium. RNAcentral describes it as "partial 16S ribosomal RNA". It matches the Rfam family "Bacterial small subunit ribosomal RNA", at positions 30 to 523 of the family's 1533-position model. The record is from RNAcentral.
AUUGAACGCUGGCGGCAUGCUUUACACAUGCAAGUCGAACGGUAACAGGUUAAGCUGACGAGUGGCGAACGGGUGAGUAAUAUAUCGGAACGUGCCCAGUUGUGGGGGAUAACUGCUCGAAAGAGCAGCUAAUACCGCAUACGACCUGAGGGUGAAAGCGGGGGAUCGCAAGACCUCGCGCAAUUGGAGCGGCCGAUAUCAGAUUAGCAAGUUGGCGGGGUAAAAGCCAACCAAGGCGACGAUCUGUAGCUGGUCUGAGAGGACGACCAGCCACACUGGGACUGAGACACGGCCCAGACUCCUACGGGAGGCAGCAGUGGGGAAUUUUGGACAAUGGACGCAAGUCUGAUCCAGCCAUGCCGCGUGCGGGAAGAAGGCCUUCGGGUUGUAAACCGCUUUUGUCAGGGAAGAAACGGCUUUUUCUAAUACAGAGAGCUAAUGACGGUACCUGAAGAAUAAGCACCGGCUAACUACGUGCCAGCAGCCGCCGUAA